AUGAACACUAGUUCAAACGAAAAAUAGUUCAAAUGUACCAUAGUUCAAACGGCAGUAGUUCAAAUGAGAAUCCACCCAGUUGGAGCAACCUGAUCUAGGCAGGAUAGUUUAUCCUAAGUUUAUCAGUAUACUCAAGAUAUACCGGAGCUAUGUUCAAUCUAUAUAUCUACUCUGGAGAUAUCGGAGUUGUGUUUAAUCAAUCAAUCAAUCCACUCUGUAUAUAGACGAGCUUUGUUCAAUCAACCAAUCUAUUCUGAGAGUUUAUAUGUCGUAUUUAUCUUGUGAAAGAUUUUUUUAGAAGUCGUCUUUUUUAUGAAAAAUAUCAGAUGUUCAUAGGAUCUUUUUUAAAUGAGCUGAUCAGACCCACUUUAGUAUGUGUCUUUCUCCUUAUUUCAGCACUUUUUUGGUUUUAAUUUUAGAUAUCCUGAUUUCUCAUUUUACCUCAACAAUCCCUUCUUAACGUUAACUUCUUUUAAUCAGUGUUAACAUUUGUUUACCGAUCCAUUUUUUAUUCACUUUAUUUUACAAGAUUAUUUAUACCCAUGAAAGUAUAACAUGUUUUGUACAUAUUUCAGAGAGAAUGGCAGAAAUUAUGGAAAAAGAUAAAGUAACCAUGAACGAAGAAAUCUCUACUGUAGAGAAUGCAUGUACUGAACUUGUAUUGGGAGAAGAUGUAAAAGAAGAAAGUACAGAAAAUCAAGGUGGGUUGAAUACUGGAAUACAGGAUACUGAACAAAAUAAAUCUGUAUUUGAUCCUGCUAUACACACAGAGCUCAUCAUUAAAGAUGAGUACGGGGAAUUUGGUUCAGAAAUUAUGGAAGAAGAUAAAGUUGCCAUCAAAGAAGAAAUCUCUACUAUAGAGGAUACAUGUACUGUAUUUGUAGUGGGAGAAGAUGUAAAAGAAGAAAGUACAGAAAAUCAAGGUGAAGUCUUCAAGAUUGAAGAAGAUCCCCUUUUCUCUGUACAAAAGAGGCUUAAAAAGAGUAAGCUAAGAGGUAAAAGAAAUAAAAGUUUUCCCUGUGGGAAAUGUGAUUAUGUGGCAACUGAAUCCACUAAUUUGAAGAGACAUAUUAGAAAUAAACAUGAAGGAUUGAUAUAUCCUUGUUCUCGUUGUGAAUAUACUGCCACUCAAGCAGGGCAUCUGAAAAUACAUAUUAAAAAUAAGCAUGGAGAAGUAAGAUUUUCCUGCGAUAAGUGUGAAUAUGUUGCUUCCGGUGUAAGGAGACUGAAGUUACACAUUGACUCUAAACAUGUAGGAGUAAGAUAUCCAUGCGACAAAUGUGAUCACGCUGCCACUACAGCAAGUUUUCUGAAAAGACAUAUUGAAAUUAAACAUGAAGGAGUGAGAUAUCCCUGUAACCAGUGUGAAUAUGUUGCCACAAGUGUAGGGGGUCUGAAAAUACACAUUGAAUCUAAACAUGAAGGAGUGAGAUAUCCAUGCGACCAAUGUGAUCAUGUUGCCACGACAGCAAGUCGUCUGAAGAUACAUAUUGAAACUAAACAUGAAGGAGUGAGAUAUCUAUGCGACCAAUGUGAUCACUCUGUCACUAGAGCAAGUUAUCUGAAAAGACAUAUUAAAAAUAUUCAUGAAGGAGUGAGAUAUCCUUGUUCUCAUUGUGAAUACACUGCCACUCAAGCAGGGCAUUUGAAAAUACAUAUUAAAAAUAAGCAUGAAGGAGUGAGAUAUCCAUGCGAUCAGUGUGAAUACGCUGCCACAGAAACAAGUAGUCUGAAGAAACAUAUCAAAAAUAAACAUGAAGGAGUGAGAUAUCCUUGCGAUCAAUGUGAAUACGCUGCCACUGGAACAAGUAGUCUUAAGAAACAUAUUAGAAAUAAACAUGAAGGAGUGAGGUAUCCCUGUGAUCAGUGUGAAUACGCUGCCACUGCUUUAAGUAUUCUGAAGAAACAUAUUGAAUCUGAACAUGACGGAGUGACAUAUCCCUGCGAUAAGUGUGAAUAUGUUGCUACUGGUGUAGGGAGUUUGAAGUUACACAUUGACUCUAAACAUAAAGGAGUGAGUUAUCCCUGUAACCAGUGUAUAUACGUUGCCACAAGUGUGAGAAGUCUGAAGUUACACAUUAAAUCUAAACAUGAAGGAGUGAGAUAUGCGUGCGAUCAAUGUGAUUACGCUGCCACUGCUUUAAGUAUUCUGAAGAGACAUAUUGAAUCUAAACAUGAAGGAGUGAGAUAUCCCUGUGGCCACUGUAUGUAUGCUGCAACAGACCCAAGAAAUCUGAAGAAACAUAUUAAAGUUAAACAUGAAGGAGUGAGAUAUCCCUGUGAUCAGUGUGAAUACAUUGCUACUGGUGUACAGGGUCUGAAGUUACAUAUUGAAUUUAAACAUGAAGGAGUGAGAUAUUCUUGCGAUCACUGUGAAUACACUGCCACUGAACCAAGACAUCUGAAGAAACAUAUUAAAUCUAAACACGAAGGAGUGAAAUAUCCCUGCGAUCAAUGUGAGUACUCUGCCAUUACAGUAAGUAAUCUGAAGAUGCACAUUGAACAUUUUCAUAAAGGAGUUAGAUAUCCCUGUGAUCAGUGUGAAUACGUUGCCACUCUAUCCUGUCAUUUAAAAACACAUAAAAAAGUGAAUCAUAUUAAUUAAGAAGGGCUUUGCACUAUAAACUUGAAUUUAUCAUUUCUCUGUUGUAUAUUUCCUUUAUCAAAACCCAACUGUGUUCCCACCCUCCCCUCAUCAUUCUUAUUUUCUUAGAUAAUGUUUUUAACAUUUUUACAUUUUUGUAGAAGAUUAUUACAUCUUUGAACAAUAAAAAAGAUUAUAAACGUUUUUUUUUCAAUUUUAUGAAUUAACAAAUUUCAUGCGAACUUUUUAAGGAAGGAUAUUUGUCUCAUACUGGAUUAACUAUUUUUAAAUUUUUUUUCCAUUUUUAAAAUUUUAAUAUUCUUGAUACUUUUUCAACAACAUAUUAUUGGUAAAGUUUUUUUUUCAAUUUUAUGAAAAACCAAAUAUCAUGCUAAACUUACAUGAAAGGAUUCUUGUAUCAUACAACAUAGAUAAACUUUUUUUGAAUAUUUAAAAAAUAUUUUUGACCAAACUGUCCACAACAAUUUUGGUUUCAUUGGAGAUGUAAAAAAUGAUAUCAUGUGAGCAGUUAAAAUUACAUUGAAUCUAAUUUUCAGAUAAAAUGGAAAAGACUGAAAAGAAAUGGUUAAAUAUAUUAGAGCAGAUUAAAUCCUUCCAUCCUCUAUUGUAGAAAAUACAUGUACUGAAGAUACAGGAAUACAAGAUUGAUUUGUUGAACUGUAAUAACUAUUCAGAGAUCUGAGACCCUGGAGCUUUAUUCAAUCAAAUAGUUUACUCUGGAGAUAUCGGAGUUAUGUUCAAUCGAUUUUUAUUCCAGAGAGAUCAGAGCUGUGUUCAAUCAAUCAAUCUUUAAGAUGUCAUCUUUGUCAUGUAAAAGAUGUGUAUAAAUGUCGUCUUUCUUAAUGAAAGGGAUCAGCUGUUCAUGGCAUCUUAUCCAAAUGAGCUGAUCUGACCAAGUAAAGUAUGCGUUUUAUAUGAAGUAAUAUGCAGUCAUAAUAAAGAAAUAAAAACUAGAACUUA
This is an RNA transcript of Eurytemora carolleeae, 3565 nucleotides long. It is a transcript of the gene named zinc finger protein 431, with no coding region annotated. The transcript has 6 exons. The record is from RefSeq and is a predicted model, not a curated record. NCBI's taxonomy places the organism in Eukaryota, Metazoa, Arthropoda, Copepoda, Calanoida, Temoridae.